CCUACGGGCGGCUGCAGUGGGGAAUAUUGGACAAUGGGCGAAAGCCUGAUCCAGCAAUUCUGCGUGAGUGAGGAAGGACUUCGGUCUGUAAAGCUCUGUUAAUGUGGAAAAAUGGUAGUUGGUCUAAUAGGCCGAUUAUUUGAUGGUACACAUAGAGGAAGCACCGGCUAACUUCGUGCCAGCAGCCGCGGUAAUACGAAGGGUGCAAGCGUUGUUCGGAUUUAUUGGGCGUAAAGCGCGCGUAGGCGGACCUGUAAGUCAGAUGUGAAAUCUCGGUGCUCAACACCGAAACUGCGUCUGAAACUGCGGGUCUAGAAUCUUGGAGGGGGAGUGGGAAUUUCGCAUGUAGGGGUAAAAUCCGUAGAGAUGCGAAGGAACACCAGAGGCGAAGGCGCACUCCUGGACAAGUAUUGACGCUGAGGCGCGAAAGCGUGGGGAUCAAACAGGAUUAGAUACCCGUGUAGUC
This 466-nucleotide ribosomal RNA is filed under the name uncultured bacterium. Its description in RNAcentral is "bacterial SSU rRNA". It matches the Rfam family "Bacterial small subunit ribosomal RNA", at positions 338 to 795 of the family's 1533-position model. The record is from RNAcentral.